GACGAACGCUGGCGGCGUGCUUAACACAUGCAAGUCGAACGGAAAGGCCCCUUUGGGGGUACUCGAGUGGCGAACGGGUGCGUAACACGUGAGUAACCUGCCCUUGACUUCGGGAUAACUUCAGGAAACUGGGGCUAAUACCGGAUAGGAAUCCUUGCUGCAUGGUGGGGGUUGGAAAGCUUCGGCGGUUUUGGAUGGACUCGCGGCUUAUCAGCUUGUUGGUGGGGUAGUGGCUUACCAAGGCUUUGACGGGUAGCCGGCCUGAGAGGGCGACCGGCCACAUUGGGACUGAGAUACGGCCCAGACUCCUACGGGAGGCAGCAGGGGGGAAUAUUGCACAAUGGGCGGAAGCCUGAUGCAGCAACGCCGCGUGCGGGAUGACGGCCUUGGGGUUGUAAAACGCUUUCAGCAGGGGCGAAGCUUGUGGUGACGGUACCUGCAGAAGAAGCACCGGCUAACUACGUG
RNAcentral lists this ribosomal RNA (465 nucleotides) under uncultured bacterium. RNAcentral describes it as "partial 16S ribosomal RNA". It matches the Rfam family "Bacterial small subunit ribosomal RNA", at positions 28 to 507 of the family's 1533-position model. The record is from RNAcentral.